CAAGAGCAAAUAGUACGUUUUGGUUAAAAUCCCAAAUGUGAAUGGAAAACAACUUUAAUAUGUGCAAUUACGUAUUACAUACCUGGAUAUAGUGCGAAAAUGGCGCGAAACCUAAAUAUCCCGCUUUUUAUAAGUUGUUUAUGUGAUUUUGUGUAUGGUGAUUUUCGUUUAACCAAAAUAUCGAAGAAGGCAACAGAAUUCUAUGAUCGCGUAGUCGGAAAAAUGCAUCAUAAACGGAGCGAGUUCCUCCCUCACAGCUAUUAGGCGUUUGGAGAAAUAGGUAAAAGAAGUGUGCACUCUUGUCAGUCUGGUAAAGUGAUGAAAAAUCUGAAAAAGUCACGGGUAUAUGCAGUCAUUGCAUAGGCAGUUUGCUCAAUAUUGGCUUUGAGCAUAACAAUUUGGCCUCCAGGUUUCUUGCUGAUUUCCUGCUGGGACUUGCAGUGUACGGAGUCAGUUACACUUCUCUGACCAAUAUUCACAGCUGUUCACAGGCCACAGCUUUUCUUCCAAAGCCUGGAGUUAUUCAACAAUAACAGUGGCUAAUGAUGGUACUUUCAGGAUCUGAAAAGAUGCAAUAAUUUGAAUAAAAGUAUUUUUGUAUUCAACAA
Molecule: long non-coding RNA, 608 nt
Organism: Cydia fagiglandana
Lineage: Eukaryota; Metazoa; Arthropoda; Insecta; Lepidoptera; Tortricidae
Exons: 3
Source: RefSeq, a predicted model, not a curated record